AGAGUUUGAUCCUGGCUCAGGACGAACGCUGGCGGCGUGCUUAACACAUGCAAGUCGAACGGAAAGGCCCUUCGGGGUACUCGAGUGGCGAACGGGUGAGUAACACGUGGGUGAUCUGCCCUGCACUCUGGGAUAAGCCUGGGAAACUGGGUCUAAUACCGGAUAGGACCGCAUGCUUCAUGGUGUGUGGUGCAAAGCUUUUGCGGUGUGGGAUGAGCCCGCGGCCUAUCAGCUUGUUGGUGGGGUAAUGGCCUACCAAGGCGACGACGGGUAGCCGGCCUGAGAGGGUGACCGGCCACACUGGGACUGAGAUACGUCCCAGACUCCUACGGGAGGCAGCAGUGGGGAAUAUUGCACAAUGGGCGCAAGCCUGAUGCAGCGACGCCGCGUGAGGGAUGACGGCCUUCGGGUUGUAAACCUCUUUCAGUAGGGACGAAGCGAAAGUGACGGUACCUACAGAAGAAGGACCGGCCAACUACGUGCCAGCAGCCGCGGUAAUACGUAGGGUCCGAGCGUUGUCCGGAAUUACUGGGCGUAAAGAGCUCGUAGGUGGUUUGUCGCGUUGUUCGUGAAAACUCACAGCUUAACUGUGGGCGUGCGGGCGAUACGGGCAGACUAGAGUACUGCAGGGGAGACUGGAAUUCCUGGUGUAGCGGUGGAAUGCGCAGGUAUCAGGAGGAACACCGGUGGCGAAGGCGGGUCUCUGGGCAGUAACUGACGCUGAGGAGCGAAAGCGUGGGUAGCGAACAGGAUUAGAUACCCUGGUAGUCCAA
This 773-nucleotide ribosomal RNA is filed under the name uncultured bacterium. RNAcentral describes it as "bacterial SSU rRNA". It matches the Rfam family "Bacterial small subunit ribosomal RNA", at positions 8 to 798 of the family's 1533-position model. The record is from RNAcentral.